This 492-nucleotide ribosomal RNA is filed under the name uncultured organism. RNAcentral describes it as "bacterial SSU rRNA". It matches the Rfam family "Bacterial small subunit ribosomal RNA", at positions 28 to 507 of the family's 1533-position model. The record is from RNAcentral.
GACGAACGCUGGCGGCGCGCCUAACACAUGCAAGUCGAGCGAGAACCAGAGCUUCGGCUCUGGGGAAAGCGGCGAACGGGUGAGUAACACGUGGGUAAUCUGCCCUCGGCAUCGGGAUAGCCCGGGGAAACCCGGAUUAAUACCGAAUGGCCUCUCGCACUCUCGGGUGCGAAAGAAAAGGUGGCUUCGGCUUCUGGCCGAGGAUGAGCCCGCGGCCGAUUAGCUUGUUGGUGGGGUAAUGGCUCACCAAGGCUCCGAUCGGUAGCUGGUCUGAGAGGACGAUCAGCCACACUGGGACUGAGACACGGCCCAGACUCCUACGGGAGGCAGCAGUGGGGAAUCUUGCGCAAUGGGCGAAAGCCUGACGCAGCGACGCCGCGUGCGGGAAGAAGGCCUUCGGGUUGUAAACCGCUUUCAGGAGGGACGAAGCCACUCGCGUUAAUAGCGCAGAGGGUGACGGUACCUCCAGAAGAAGCCCCGGCUAACUACGUG